RNAcentral lists this ribosomal RNA (387 nucleotides) under uncultured bacterium. RNAcentral's name for it is "bacterial SSU rRNA". It matches the Rfam family "Bacterial small subunit ribosomal RNA", at positions 29 to 417 of the family's 1533-position model. The record is from RNAcentral.
AUUGAACGCUGGCGGCAUGCUUUACACAUGCAAGUCGAGCGGCAGCGCGGGGGGUAACCCUCGCGGCGAGCGGCGGACGGGUGAGUAAUGCAUCGGAACGUAUCCCGUAGUGGGGGACAACCCAGCGAAAGCUGGGCUAAUACCGCAUAUGCUCUACGGAGGAAAGUGGGGGACCUGAAAGGGCCUCACGCUAUGGGAGCGGCCGAUGUCCGAUUAGCUAGUUGGUGGGGAAAGGCUUACCAAGGCGACGAUCGGUAGCUGGUCUGAGAGGAUGAUCAGCCACACUGGGACUGAGACACGGCCCAGACUCCUACGGGAGGCAGCAGUGGGGAAUUUGACAAUGGGGGCAACCCUGAUCCAGCCAUGCCGCGUGCGGGAAGAAGGCCU